UUCCAAAUGUCUACUGCUUCUCUCCACCACUACAACACAUCCAUCUGUGCAACUACAUGGAAAGAAAGGUGUUUUCUGAUGUUUGACAACUCAGAUAAGGGUUUCAUCAAAAUCUCAGUGGAAGAGCAAGAGUGGUCAGAACCUGUGUCAGGAAACUGAUCAAAUGAUGUGCUGCUUCGUAAAGUUGCAAAAGACCAAGAGUGCAAGUUACCAUGAAAUAUGCAAUACUCCAUCCUCUGUAUGGGUGGGGCCUCCUCAUCUGGAAAUAUUCUAUUGUGCCAUCAUCACCCAUGUUGUGGAUGAGUGGAAGUCUUCAUUCUCUAAAGCUUUAUGAAUUCAAGAUUAAUCAUUUUCAAAUGUCUCAUAUUUGAAAUACUGAGAUGUCAAAAGACUAAAUAUCUGUCCCAUGA
This is a long non-coding RNA of Passer domesticus (house sparrow), 410 nucleotides long. RefSeq lists it as uncharacterized. NCBI's taxonomy places the organism in Eukaryota, Metazoa, Chordata, Aves, Passeriformes, Passeridae. The transcript is spliced from 3 exons. The record is from RefSeq and is a predicted model, not a curated record.